This is a long non-coding RNA of Chelmon rostratus (copperband butterflyfish), 1630 nucleotides long. RefSeq lists it as uncharacterized. The record is from RefSeq and is a predicted model, not a curated record. The transcript is spliced from 2 exons. NCBI's taxonomy places the organism in Eukaryota, Metazoa, Chordata, Actinopteri, Chaetodontiformes, Chaetodontidae.
UUGUGUGAGCCACAUAGGACGCUGAUUUUUCUCUCAUGGUCACUUUUAUAGUGUUACUUUUUGAAGGGUGUAAACAGCACCCUAGGUGUUCUCCCACUAUUUUAUUCCAAACCUUCGAGGCCAAAAAUACAAGUCCAAUAUUUUUCUGGCUUUUCUAAAUCCACCUGUGGGCCCGAGAUAAGGCCUGGAUGUGUGGAUGCUGGGAUGUAACAUGUUUAUGAACUGAAGCCACAUCCGAGGGUAGAGCUGGAAAGUCUCUUGUCAUCGUUAGGGAAACUUAUUUCUCCUCUGUCAGACAGUGCCGUGAAAAAAAAUGUGAGAUGUAGAUACAGAAAGGAAUGUGACCUGAGUGUUUAAACUCUUCCUUCUCAUCAGUCUCGCCUCAGACUCACAGGCGGCACUGAGAAAGGAAGAAACCCUUCUUCUGAAUUUAUUCCCUCUUAAUAUUUUUCAUGUCAUACAGAUAGAGCGGUGAAGCUGUGAAUAAUUGCAGACACUGUAAGCGCAGUCGACUGCUCCCAUCAUGGAUUAUACCGCCUAUCUCGGCCGCUGCCUGCUGUUUUUCUUCGUCGCUGUCUUCCUGGAUGCGGCAGGCCUCAUCCUCUUCUUAGUCGGGGUCUUUGCUCCCAUCAGCUUCUGGGAUUUCUUUGUCUUCUCAGGACCCCUCAUUAUCUUCCUCAGCCUGGUGUUCUGGAUCUUCUGGUACCUGGGAAACCUGGAGAUACCGAUGGACGAGUUACUCCCCAAAUGAGAUUCGCGGCUCCUUCAUUUGCAGCACAAAGCAGUUUCAAGGCGACCCGUGCUGGAAAAUGAAACCAGAGUUACAGCUACAGGUCGAUUUCUCAACUUAUGCUCGAUCUCGCUGGUGGAUGUUUGUGUAUUUGCCUCACAACCCCAAGAAACAUUGGACUUUACACUGAAAAGACAAAUAUGGAACUUUAAUCUGAAAGGAUAUCUGUUUGAUGAACAUCUGAGACUUUUGAAUGGGAAGUGGGGGCGGUAGACUCGGCCACAGUUUGAAAAAAGGGGGCCCCAUUUGUAAAAGUAGUAAAAAUGUGUCCAGUUUCACAUUCAGUACCUUGGCUCUUGGCAAUAACAAGCUGUGCAUUUAUAACAGUUACAUUGUUUAUUCAUUAUUCAUAAAUGAAAGCCGAAUAAACAACUUAAAAUAUUCUUAUGUGAAAUAAUAUCAAUGAAAAGCUGCUAUUUGUAAGCUGAAAUAGCCUGCAGCCACAGUCUCUUGCUUGAAAUCAAACAGUGUGAUUCAUUUUUAGUGACAAAUAUAGCCGACACCGCAUCAAACUGCUGAAGAGAUGGAACUUGUAAAUAAAUUGACUUGCUGUUCCUCAGCUUUAGAGUAUACAUCUAAAUUGUACUGUUACAGCACACAAGCAGUGCUCAGAUGAAACCGCCAGACAUCCCUGUGGCCCCUCCUCCGCUCAGACUGCCUGGUCAUGGUGACUCGAUUCUGUAAAUUCUCUGUCGAAUAAGAUUUUACAUUCACAUUUUGUUUAUUUCAUCACAUCAUUUGCUUCUUUGUCUUUUUAACUGAUAAAAUCAGGACCAGACUCUGUCUUCCACUUGUACAUUUCCACUCCAUUUACAUCUUAAUGACACUGUUUAUCAUGUA